This 100-nucleotide small nucleolar RNA is filed under the name Cervus hanglu yarkandensis (Yarkand deer). Its description in RNAcentral is "Small nucleolar RNA U3 (ENSCHYG00000002198.1)". It matches the Rfam family "Small nucleolar RNA U3". From Rfam's summary of the family: Small nucleolar RNAs (snoRNAs) are involved in the processing and modification of rRNA in the nucleolus. There are two main classes of snoRNAs: the box C/D class, and the box H/ACA class. The record is from Rfam by way of RNAcentral. Lineage: Eukaryota; Metazoa; Chordata; Mammalia; Artiodactyla; Cervidae.
AAGACUAUACUUUCAGGGAUCAUUUCUAUAGUUCGUUACUAGAGAAGUUUCUCUAGUAGAGCACCCGACUGCCAUAUGACCCAGCAAUCCCACUCCUGGG